CAGUCGCCGCGGGAAUACAGAGGGUGCGAGCGUUAAUCGGAUUUACUGGGCGUAAAGCGUGCGUAGGCGGCUUCUUAAGUCGGAUGUGAAAUCCCUGAGCUUAACUUAGGAAUUGCAUUCGAUACUGGGAAGCUAGAGUAUGGGAGAGGAUGGUAGAAUUCCAGGUGUAGCGGUGAAAUGCGUAGAGAUCUGGAGGAAUACCGAUGGCGAAGGCAGCCAUCUGGACUAAUACUGACGCUGAGGUACGAAAGCAUGGGGAGCAAACAGGAUUAGAUACCCCUGUAGUCCCUGUCUCUUAUAC
RNAcentral lists this ribosomal RNA (301 nucleotides) under uncultured bacterium. Its description in RNAcentral is "partial 16S ribosomal RNA". It matches the Rfam family "Bacterial small subunit ribosomal RNA", at positions 509 to 807 of the family's 1533-position model. The record is from RNAcentral.